Molecule: ribosomal RNA, 110 nt
Filed under: Homo sapiens (human)
Lineage: Eukaryota; Metazoa; Chordata; Mammalia; Primates; Hominidae
Source: RNAcentral
GUCUAUGGCCAUACUACCAGGAACGUGCCUGAUCUCGUGAAGCUAAGCAGGUUUGGGCCUGGUUAGUACUUAGAUGGGAGACCACCUGGGAAUAACGGGUGCUGUAGGCU